UCUGUAGCAGUGUCACCAGACCAGACCCUUCCCUCUCCUCUCAGCGAAGGGGCGGGCCCAGACUACCUGCCUGUGAAUAUCGUAGAUAAUAGAUAUCGACACCCACUCAUCAGGGUGGGGCUGGAGUGAUGAAUGCGCAUGCGUACAAAAACAUCCACGUGUCAGCACGUGACAAACUGACACUGAGAGACUGAGAGGCGGAGGUGAAACAGGAGCUAGAUGGAGAGUGAGAGAAAAGGAGCCUAUUAUUAUUAUUGAUACUUGCUUGGCCCUCUCCAUUUGUUACUAUGGCAACACUGAAUACACACACAAGCUCCAGAUGGUCACUUAAGAGUGGACAAGUAAAGUGAAUGUAACAUACAAAAAGCACCUUUAUGGCUUCAUUACAGUUUGGACUACAAUGACAAAACUCAUAGUUUGGUUCAAACCUAGAUGUGAUAUAGUACUAAUGACUGGUUUUAAUGUCAUUGAAACUGUUAAUUUCCCUAGUUGUGCUAUUACACUGGCUCACAAGUUUAAUGACUUCACUUUCAUGACCCAUUAGGCUAUUCCCUGGUUGCCUUCAGGUUCUUUAGAAAAGCUUUUCAAAUAAAAACUGUGGAUUACCUGCCAUUAAGGGAGUUACCCAAAUCUGGUGUCAGUAGGUCACUAUUUUACUUUUCAGCUGAUGAGAGUUUAUCAUUAAAAUAGUUCAAAAGAAAGAAGUAUUUUACAGAAACUGCUACUAAAUCUCAUGCAAAACAAGAAAACACCGUUACCCAAGUUCUUUGGCCUCUAUCAAUUUAAAGUUGUGGUGGUGACUGUGGUGUUAAAAUUACUUGAUUUUAGAAUACAUUUGGCUGAUGGUCUGUGGUUGCAUCCUGAUAAAUGUAAAUUCAACGUUAGUAACUUAGUUCACAAUUGUCAGGUACUAGAGUCUUUUGGUAUGAUGGGCUACAGCUUGUUAUACUAGGAGUAUACAAUGUGGAUGAGGCCAUUAGAGCAAGUGAACCACCUCCCACUUCAUGGGCUCUCACCACAGAAACAGUGGGUGAACCAGCAACAGCUGUUGAUUGAGACUCUACAGGAGAGAGGCAGACGAGUAAGAAGGAUUGGAAACAUUUUUACAAUCAAGGAUUGAAGCUAGAAUAUUUUAAUAUAUUUAAUCCUGAGACCUUAACCAGCGAUACUAACCUACAGGACUUCUCCACACCUGGAUACCAUAUGUGAAAGGGAGAAACUACAUGUACCUUAUAAUAAAUUACAUUUUCUGAUACAUAUUGAUGUGCUUAUGCUGUGUAGAAAGUUUGAGCUGAUUUUGACUGUAGUCUUUCAAGUUACAGCCAUUUUAAAGAAGAUGCAAUUAAUGAGCCUUGUUUUCUGUAGAAUUGGAUUUCAAAUGAAAAUAAAUGUCAUUGAUGUACAAAUAAAUUUACACACAGUUUCUCGUUCAUGUAAUGUAUAGCUGAGUCCUUGACAAAGGAACACCCGUUUCUUGAAGAACUCUAUCACCAAUAAAAACUCUCAUUAUUGACACACACAGCAAACAAAGAGCUGAAUGAAUCACUGGUCAAAGAAAAGAAGGUUGUUAUAAUCUGACACUAGAUCUAUAGGCUGAAAUUAUAUUAAGGUUAUUUUUGUGAAUACCGGUGCAAGAACACUCUUAUAUUAGUCAUCCAUAAAUUGUAAAUAAUCCUAGCAGACUAUAAACUGUCUUACUGCACCAGCUCAAGUUGGCAAUUGGCAGGUAUACUCAGAGAGCUAUGUUGUUCUUGCUAAUAUUGAGCACACAGGACUGAUCACACAUGGGAGAUACAGCCGGGAAGAAAACCUUAUUAGGUUGUUAUUAUCUGCUACUAAUCCUUAAUCAUUUUUAAUGUCAUUUUGUGAAUGCUGAUUUAAGAAGACUCUCAAUGGAUAUAAAUUGUAAAUCUUUGAGUUGUCAUUACCAGCUCAAGUCCAGUGGUCAUUGGCAGGUAUUAUCGUAUACUUGUUGUUACUAAUGUUGAGCACACCAUUCUAUAUAUAGGACUGAUCAUACACAUAGGGGAAAAUACAGUCUGGAAGAACCUCAAUAGGUACACAUGCACUAGCAUUAUGAUAGGCAUGAAAAUAUUUUGUUUGAAUUUAAAACUUUUUACUAUUGAUAUAACGUA
RNAcentral lists this long non-coding RNA (2135 nucleotides) under Amphimedon queenslandica. Its description in RNAcentral is "uncharacterized LOC109580796, transcript variant X2". Lineage: Eukaryota; Metazoa; Porifera; Demospongiae; Haplosclerida; Niphatidae. The record is from RNAcentral.